GGGAAACGCAUUCUUUUGCAGCGCUUAUUGCGCGGCGAAAACCUUACACACUAUGUUUUUUUAAUUUGAAACUAUUGCUUUGGUCUGGCUUAGAAAUAGGUUGGGCCAAAGGUUUUAUCAAAACUUCAAUAUUUAUUAUUGAAUUGUUAUUUUUAAUUUUAUGUCAAUUUGUUGAUUAAUAUCAAAAAUCUUCAAAACUUUCAACAACGGAUCUCUUGGUUCUCGCAUCGAUGAAGAACGCAGCGAAAUGCGAUAAGUAAUAUGAAUUGCAGAUUUUCGUGAAUCAUCGAAUCUUUGAACGCACAUUGCGCCCUUUGGUAUUCCAAAGGGCAUGCCUGUUUGAGCGUCAUUUCUCUCUCAAAUCUUCGGAUUUGGUUUUGAGUGAUACUCUUAGUCAGACUAAGCGUUUGCUUGAAAUGUAUUGGCAUGAGUGGUACUAGAUAGUGCUGAACUGUUUUCAAUGUAUUAGGUUUAUCCAACUCAUUGACCAGUAAAGUAUUUGUUUAUUACACAGGCUCGGCCUUACAACAACAAACAAAGUUUGACCUCAAAUCAGGUAGGACUACCCGCUGAACUUAAGCAUAUCAAUAAGGCGGGAGGAAA
This 603-nucleotide ribosomal RNA is filed under the name Dujonia railenensis. RNAcentral describes it as "eukaryotic LSU rRNA". The stretch from base 196 to 349 matches the Rfam family "5.8S ribosomal RNA". Lineage: Eukaryota; Fungi; Ascomycota; Pichiomycetes; Serinales; Debaryomycetaceae. The record is from RNAcentral.